CGAUGAAGCCCAGCUUGCUGGGUGGAUUAGUGGCGAACGGGUGAGUAACACGUGAGUAACCUGCCCUUAACUCUGGGAUAAGCCUGGGAAACUGGGUCUAAUACCGGAUAGGAGCGUCCACCGCAUGGUGGGUGUUGGAAAGAUUUAUCGGUUUUGGAUGGACUCGCGGCCUAUCAGCUUGUUGGUGAGGUAAUGGCUCACCAAGGCGACGACGGGUAGCCGGCCUGAGAGGGUGACCGGCCACACUGGGACUGAGACACGGCCCAGACUCCUACGGGAGGCAGCAGUGGGGAAUAUUGCACAAUGGGCGAAAGCCUGAUGCAGCGACGCCGCGUGAGGGAUGACGGCCUUCGGGUUGUAAACCUCUUUCAGUAGGGAAGAAGCGAAAGUGACGGUACCUGCAGAAGAAGCGCCGGCUAACUACGUGCCAGCAGCCGCGGUAAUACGUAGGGCGCAAGCGUUAUCCGGAAUUAUUGGGCGUAAAGAGCUCGUAGGCGGUUUGUCGCGUCUGCCGUGAAAGUCCGGGGCUUAACCCCGGAUCUGCGGUGGGUACGGGCAGACUAGAGUGCAGUAGGGGAGACUGGAAUUCCUGGUGUAGCGGUGAAAUGCGCAGAUAUCAGGAGGAACACCGAUGGCGAAGGCAGGUCUCUGGGCAUUAACUGACGCUGAGGAGCGAAAGCAUGGGGAGCGAACAGGAUUAGAUACCCUGGUAGUCCAUGCCGUAAACGUUGGGCACUAGGUGUGGGGGACAUUCCACGUUUUCCGCGCCGUAGCUAACGCAUUAAGUGCCCCGCCUGGGGAGUACGGCCGCAAGGCUAAAACUCAAAGGAAUUGACGGGGGCCCGCACAAGCGGCGGAGCAUGCGGAUUAAUUCGAUGCAACGCGAAGAACCUUACCAAGGCUUGACAUGUUCCCGAUCGCCGUAGAGAUACGAUUUCCCCUUUGGGGCGGGUUCACAGGUGGUGCAUGGUUGUCGUCAGCUCGUGUCGUGAGAUGUUGGGUUAAGUCCCGCAACGAGCGCAACCCUCGUUCUAUGUUGCCAGCGCGUGAUGGCGGGGACUCAUAGGAGACUGCCGGGGUCAACUCCGAAGGAAGGUGGGGACGACGUCAAAUCAUCAUGCCCCUUAUGUCUUGGGCUUCACGCAUGCUACAAUGGCCGGUACAAAGGGUUGCGAUACUGUGGAGGUGGAACUAAUCCCAAAAAGCCGGGCUCAGUUCGGAUUGGGGGCUGGAACUCG
Molecule: ribosomal RNA, 1238 nt
Filed under: Micrococcus luteus
Lineage: Bacteria; Bacillati; Actinomycetota; Actinomycetes; Micrococcales; Micrococcaceae
Description: bacterial SSU rRNA
Rfam family: Bacterial small subunit ribosomal RNA
Source: RNAcentral